RNAcentral lists this ribosomal RNA (459 nucleotides) under uncultured bacterium. RNAcentral's name for it is "bacterial SSU rRNA". It matches the Rfam family "Bacterial small subunit ribosomal RNA", at positions 69 to 511 of the family's 1533-position model. The record is from RNAcentral.
CAUGAUUUGUAGCAAUACAAAUGAUGUCCAGCGGCGCAAGGGUGCGUAACACGUGGGCAAUCUGCCGAGAAGUGGGGGAUAGCUCGCCGAAAGGCGAAUUAAUACCGCAUGUGGUUAAGGACGACAUCGUUCUGACACCAAAGCCGGGGCAACCUGGCGCUUCUUGAUGAGCCCGCGGCCUAUCAGCUAGUUGGUGAGGUAACGGCUCACCAAGGCUAUGACGGGUAGCUGGUCUGAGAGGACGACCAGCCACACUGGAACUGAGACACGGUCCAGACACCUACGGGUGGCAGCAGUCGAGAAUUUUUCUCAAUGGGGGAAACCCUGAAGGAGCGACGCCGCGUGGAGGAUGAAGGUCUUCGGAUUGUAAACUCCUGUCAUUUGGGAACAAUUGUCAUCCGUUAACUGCGGGUGGCUUGAUAGUACCAGAAGAGGAAGAGACGGCUAACUCUGUGCCAG